AUGCGUCGGUGCCUGCCUGCCUGCCUGCCUGCCUGCUGUAAAGGGAUGCAUUUAAGCAGCUGCACAGACGCGGCCCCACGAAGCAGCGGGAAUCCACAAUGGCCUGGAGGAGAUGACAUCAUCCCCGAGCAACUCUGGCUUACACAGUACAGUGUGUUCUACAGUAAUCAUAUUGCCAUGUCAUUCCCCAUAAGCUCGGGCCAUUUAAAUCCUUUAAUUAUACACCAGCAGCACUGAAGCGGUGUUUACCGUAAGAGUCCAGUGUACCUAGUUUUGUGUUGUACAUUGAGUCUUAUGUUAAUAAACUUGUGUGGCGGAAGAGCCCUGCAGGCGUUCACAGCCACUGUAAUGAGACUGUGUUUAGUCUGGAGACCGUGUAGGACUAAUGCUGAUGGAUUGUAUGGCUGCAGGUCAGGUCUUGCUCUCACACACUCUACGGUAGGAGGAAGGGGAAAGUUUCAUUUGCAAGAUUAUGAAACAAUCCAACAUAAAGUUAUUAUUACCGUGUUGAUAUGAGCUACGGGAAAGCUACACAUCAUUGCCAGUGGAGCACAAAAGGAGGACAUUGUUUGCAAUCCCCCUGGCUUUUAGCGGUGGAGGAGUGGUAAAAUAGUUCAUCAAUAAAAUUGAGUUGCUGUAGUCAAACAUGAAACCUAAACAACAUCAAUCUCCGAGAAAUACAUUCCGUUUAUCACUUCUCACUACAGCAGUUGAUAUUCUAAGAAGUACGGGACGGUUCCCACUGAAGCCAUGUGGCUCAGCUCCCCUGCCGACCAGCCCAGACUUGCCCCCGAAGGAGAUAAGAUAGUGUUGACUACAGACCACUCUGUGUAGAUGGGUGAGGGGCCUCCGCUGUGCUUAAGGGGCCAGUGUACUCCAUCUCGGACGCUUGUCGGAUGAGGUAAAUAACUUUGGAAACCUCCUCAACCCCUCACCUUUUCUGACCUUGGAUCAGGGGGGCGGUCUGUGUCCGAAGUUUCUAACAAUUUGACAUUCAUACCUAUUUUUGAAAAAGGAGACUGAGUUUAAAGGCCCUAUUUGUGAGAAAAAUGUACUUUUGAGUCACAUUCUCAACUCUCUUCUGGACUGUAGGUCAGAUCGGCUGCCAUCCUGAAACGUACGUUGCAAAUUUGUCUCAAAAAUCAACUUUUCAACUUUUUGUGCUCAUUUUCAUUUUCAUCAUUUUAUUUUCGGUUACAACUAGAAAAGCAAACAUGACUGAUCAGUUCUCCAAAACUGUCCAGUGCUGCAGCGCAAUGUCCCCCUCAUGUUUCUUUAAAGUCCUCCUUCCCAAAUACCCAGUCUGCUCGGAUUGACCCAGCACAACUAACAACAACAGAUCAGCUGUGCUUUAUCAAUUCUUACUUGCCAAACUUUAAUAAAUUAUUGUGAAAACGUGACACGUUGGCAUAGCGCGAUGUCACAAAAUCACGGCAUAGAAGGCGAGACUACUGACGAGGUGUUUCAGGAACAGUAUUUUCUGAGGGGGAGAAGAGCUUCUGUUGUUGUGGACUUGGCCUAUUUACCUUUCGUGAUCUUUACAUGAACAAGAUCACAUAUAAAUCACUGGAGAAAAGGAAACAAUGAAAAAGCAUAAUUGCUAGGUCUCCCUUAAACUUCUCUCUUAGCUCUCUUCAUACAACUAUUUCUAUCACUUGUCAUGUAAAUAAGACUGUUAUUGUCUUCCAGGAGAGACUGUUUUACAAUGCGCACUGUUAUCUGCAGACAACCUUUCCCUUUUCCUAUGAGUAAGUCCUCUUGGACCAGGUUUAAACACGUCUGUUAUCUGACACGGUUGGACAACGCGUCUUAAGCAUCGCCUCUUUUCUAGUUCAGCAACCUCUGAGUCACUCUCAGUCGCAUCCUGUGCUCUGAAGUUUUACUGGUUUAUGAUCUUUGCACCACUGGUCGAGCAGCGACAGUUCAAAGCAGCAUGACAAAUUGAGAAUCCAUGCCCUGUGGACAAAUCUGAGGCAGCAUUGUGUCAGGAUCUUGAGGUUUUAUAAUUAGCAGGUGGGAUAACCAGUAAUUUAAGUCAGGAAAUGUUAGUUUUAUUUAUCUCUUGAUGGCUUCCUCAGGUUCCUGAAAGUUAAUUAAUUCCUCUAAACUGUCUUUUACUAACGAUCACAUAAUGGCAGUUGCAACCCUACUCUAGUCUAUCUGUCCUACAUUGAGCUCUGUGCAUGAUCACAUUUAUUGUGUUUCCAUUCCCAUCUGAUAAGUUUUUAUGUUCCAGAACAACUACAGACAUGCAUUUCCACAGGAAAUUUCCUAAAAGCCGAUUUUAUCCUUUAAUUUUAUUAAAGUUGAAACCAAACCUCACACAAAGAGUCUAUAUUAUACAAAUGACUGCAUGAAUACUGUGGCUUGCUUGUCAAUCAUCCCUUGCAUAUUACUUUUUCACAGAUGAAUAAAGAGAUUUAGUCACAAACUGGUCGGAAACAGCAUUGUGAAAAUCAGCUGCAUCAAUCAGGCUUUAACCUUGAAAACAAAAAAACAAGAAGAAAUGGACCCAUACGGAGACAAACACCUGAAGCAAAUCCAAGCAUUCACUCUUGUUUGAACAGUGACUAGAUAAGAUAGCUCAAAGUUAUCAGCACAAGAUGAAUUCCCAGAGGAACCCCCAGGAGGGGUUUCAUCAAUGCAGUGGGAGGGAGAAAAUCAAUCCCUCACACCACAAAUAGUGACAAAUAACCACCUCAAACUGAAG
This 2710-nucleotide long non-coding RNA is filed under the name Sparus aurata (gilthead seabream). Its description in RNAcentral is "lncRNA (ENSSAUG00010026244.1)". Lineage: Eukaryota; Metazoa; Chordata; Actinopteri; Spariformes; Sparidae. The record is from RNAcentral.